Molecule: ribosomal RNA, 429 nt
Filed under: Bacteroidota bacterium
Lineage: Bacteria; Pseudomonadati; Bacteroidota
Description: Bacteroidetes bacterium partial 16S ribosomal RNA
Rfam family: Bacterial small subunit ribosomal RNA
Source: RNAcentral
UAGGGAAUCUUCCGCAAUGGACGCAAGUCUGACGGAGCAACGCCGCGUGAGUGAAGAAGGAUUUCGGUUCGUAAAACUCUGUUGUUAGAGAAGAACAGCGCAUAGAGUAACUGUUAUGCGUGUGACGGUAUCUAACCAGAAAGCCACGGCUAACUACGUGCCAGCAGCCGCGGUAAUACGUAGGUGGCAAGCGUUGUCCGGAUUUAUUGGGCGUAAAGCGAGCGCAGGCGGUCAAUUAAGUCUGAUGUGAAAGCCCCCGGCUCAACCGGGGAGGGUCAUUGGAAACUGGUUGACUUGAGUGCAGAAGAGGAGAGUGGAAUUCCAUGUGUAGCGGUGAAAUGCGUAGAUAUAUGGAGGAACACCAGUGGCGAAGGCGACUCUCUGGUCUGUAACUGACGCUGAGGUUCGAAAGCUUGGGUAGCAAACAGG